CACAUGCAAGUCGAACGGUAGCACAGAGAGCUUGCUCUCGGGUGACGAGUGGCGGACGGGUGAGUAAUGUCUGGGAAACUGCCUGAUGGAGGGGGAUAACUACUGGAAACGGUGGCUAAUACCGCAUAACGUCGCAAGACCAAAGAGGGGGACCUUCGGGCCUCUUGCCAUCAGAUGUGCCCAGAUGGGAUUAGCUUGUUGGUGAGGUAACGGCUCA
Molecule: ribosomal RNA, 217 nt
Filed under: Salmonella enterica subsp. enterica serovar Muenchen
Lineage: Bacteria; Pseudomonadati; Pseudomonadota; Gammaproteobacteria; Enterobacterales; Enterobacteriaceae
Description: partial 16S ribosomal RNA
Rfam family: Bacterial small subunit ribosomal RNA
Source: RNAcentral